Molecule: ribosomal RNA, 497 nt
Filed under: uncultured bacterium
Lineage: Bacteria
Description: partial 16S ribosomal RNA
Rfam family: Bacterial small subunit ribosomal RNA
Source: RNAcentral
GAUGAACGCUGGCGGCGUGCCUAAUACAUGCAAGUCGAGCGAACAGACGAGGAGCUUGCUCCUCUGACGUUAGCGGCGGACGGGUGAGUAACACGUGGAUAACCUACCUAUAAGAAUGGGAUAACUUCGGGAAACCGGAGCUAAUACCGGAUAAUAUAUUCAACCGCAUGGUUCAAUAGUGAAAGACGGUUUUGCUGACAAUUAUAGAUGGAUCCGCGCCGCAUUAGCCAGUUGGUAAGGUAACGGCUUACCAAGGCAACGAUGCGUAGCCGACCUGAGAGGGUGAUCGGCCACACUGGAACUGAGACACGGUCCAGACUCCUACGGGAGGCAGCAGUAGGGAAUCUUCCGCAAUGGGCGAAAGCUUGACGGAGCAACGCCGCGUGAGUGAUGAAGGUCUUCGGAUCGGAAAGCUCUGUUAUUAGGGAAGAACAAAUGUGUAAGUAACUAUGCACGUCUUGACGGUACCUUAUCAGAAAGCCACGGCUAACUACGUG